Molecule: long non-coding RNA, 1568 nt
Filed under: Brachypodium distachyon (stiff brome)
Lineage: Eukaryota; Viridiplantae; Streptophyta; Magnoliopsida; Poales; Poaceae
Description: long non-coding RNA (BDIS_LNC000615)
Source: RNAcentral
UGGCGUAGUGGCCAUGGGACCUAUUUUACCAUUGAAAUCAAAUAUCUUUAUAUUUAUUUUGCAUUUAUAUCCUUGUUGUCCCGAUUUUGUCAGAGUCAUAAAACCCAAAUUAAAAAUCCUUUAUCAACUCUUUACUUGCUUAUUAGUUCCCUCUUUUUCUUUAAUUAUUUAUUGAGGUCUAUUUUAGUAUAAUUUUAGUUUAAGAUUAGUUUUACAUUUAGUUUUUUUUUUGCCUUUUUAUCAUUGUGACAGAGAACCACUUUGAUAUCUUGUUGGGGGCACAAGAUAGUUUUAUUUGUUUUGUAAAUCGUUCUACUGGAUCUAGGAACAAGAAGUAGAACAUUCACACAUCUCCCGUACUGUUCGACAUUAAACCCCGAGUUACCUUUGUGGGGAAAACUUCUACUUCUAUAUCACUCUGCACGCUUGGAGUCCCAACAAUUGGUGCACAUCAGAUUGGUGCCAUCAGACCCGGUGGCGACUCCUCAGGGCAGCCGCUCUCCUCCUUACUCUGUGAGUACUAGUAGCUCGUUCGCUUUCUAGCUAGCUUCUGAUUCUUCGACCCUUCUUCGCAAAUUAUUUCAGUGCGCCCAGCCGCUGGACCAUGGACGCUCGGUCCAGCUUUGGGUGCAUGCUCUGUGCUCCACCAGAUCGACCACACAGAGGAAGACGACAACGACAGCGGCCGCAGCGGGCACCUAUGCAGGCAGCCGCACAAGAUCCGCAGGAUGGAGUACCUGGUGUGGAGAGCAGAGAGGGGAAAGAGAGAGGGAUCUCGGGUGGAAAUACAUGAGGAUUGGGGUUCCUUUCACAAGUUUCCUAGGCAUGUGGUGAAAGAUCGGUAUGGUCGACUAACAAAUUUUACUUUUUUUUUAAAGAUACAAACACUUAAUUUUAGGGUUUACUAAAUUCUCUAAAGUGAAUAGCACCCUAGUAUGAAGUGCAAUAGCCGAAGCAACAAUAUAGAUAGCAAGAAUGUAAAAGGGUGAAAAUGAUACCACACAAGAGACGAAGAUUUUCACUAGAGUUCCACCGAUUGGGGUAGGUGUACGUCUCGUUUGGAUGAGUGCUCUACCACAAAGGUAGAGGCGCCACAAAGGCUCACUCUAUUCUCCUCUCAUAACAGCACGAAGGUGAGGUGAGCUCCACUAGUGGCUUCCUUGGGGGCGAAGUCCAAACCCUUAAAAACUUGAACGGUGCUAGCUCAACAGCUCAAUUGGAGGUUCCCAAUCCAAUCCUCAAGCUCCUCACACCAAGGGAGAGCUCAAGAAAACCGCUUCCGUCUAGGGCUCCCAAAUGCACAAGAGAAACGAAAUUCACAAAUGAAACAAGGAGAACCAACUUUUUGACUUGGUGAAAUCCUAAAUCAAGAUCUUCUCCUCCAAUCCUCAAAGAAUCAAUAGUUGGAGUGGCUAGGGAGGGUGAUCCGAGAGAUUUAAACAUUUGAGUUCUCGGGGAGAGAAAUGGUGUUCUUGGCUGUUUUCUCAGGCAGGUUGGCUCGUUGGGGACGAAGGGGUAUAUAAAUGGGGUCCCCAAAAAUCGAGCCGUUAGGCAUAGACACGGACAGG